CUGCUCGCUUCAGCAGCACAUAUACUAAAAUUGGAACGAUACAGAGAAGAUUGGCAUGGCCCCUGCACAAGGAUGACAUGCAAAUUUGUGAAGCAUUCCAUAUUUAA
This is a small nuclear RNA of Delphinapterus leucas (beluga whale), 107 nucleotides long. The record is from Ensembl. Lineage: Eukaryota; Metazoa; Chordata; Mammalia; Artiodactyla; Monodontidae.